AGAGUUUGAUCCUGGCUCAGAACGAACGCUGGCGGCGUGCUUAACACAUGCAAGUCGAACGCGAACGGUUUCUUUCGGGAAACCUAGUAGAGUGGCGCACGGGUGAGUAACGUGUAAGUAAUCUACCCUGGUAUCUGGGAUAACCCACCGAAAGGUGUGCUAAUACCGGAUACGCUGAUUUAUCAGGAAAGGUGGCCUCUUCAUGAAAGCUACUGUACCAGGAGGAGCUUGCGUACCAUUAGCUAGUUGGUAGGGUAAUGGCCUACCAAGGCAACGAUGGUUAGCGGGUCUGAGAGGAUGAUCCGCCACACUGGAACUGGAACACGGACCAGACUCCUACGGGAGGCAGCAGUGAGGAAUUUUGCGCAAUGGGGGAAACCCUGACGCAGCAACGCCGCGUGAGUGAUGAAGGCUUUCGGGUCGUAAAGCUCUGUCAAGUGGGAAGAACCCACAUGGUGAUAAUACCGCCAUGUGUUGACGUACCACUGAAGAAGCACCGCUAACU
RNAcentral lists this ribosomal RNA (505 nucleotides) under uncultured bacterium. RNAcentral describes it as "bacterial SSU rRNA". It matches the Rfam family "Bacterial small subunit ribosomal RNA", at positions 8 to 502 of the family's 1533-position model. The record is from RNAcentral.